UACGUAGGGGCAAGCGUUAUCCGGAUUUACUGGGUGUAAAGGGAGCGCAGACGGAACUGCAAGUCUGAUGUGAAAGCCCGGGGCUCAACCGCGGGACUGCAUCGGAUACUGUAGAUCUGGAGUGCCGGAGGGGCAAGCGGAAUUCCUGGUGUAGCGGUGAAAUGCGUAGAUAUCAGGAGGAACACCGGUGGCGAAGGCGGCUAUCUGGACAGUAACUGACGCUGAGGCGCGAAAACGUGGGGAGCAAACAGGAUUAGAUACCCU
Molecule: ribosomal RNA, 264 nt
Filed under: uncultured prokaryote
Description: partial 16S ribosomal RNA
Rfam family: Bacterial small subunit ribosomal RNA
Source: RNAcentral